GGGCCCGCACAAGCGGUGGAGCAUGUGGUUUAAUUCGAUGAUACGCGAGGAACCUUACCAGGGCUUAAAUGUAGUGGGACAGGUCUAGAGAUAGACCCUUCUUCGGACUCAUUACAAGGUGCUGCAUGGUUGUCGUCAGCUCGUGCCGUGAGGUGUCAGGUUAAGUCCUAUAACGAGCGCAACCCCUAUCGUUAGUUGCCAGCGAGUAAUGUCGGGAACUCUAACGAAACUGCCGGUGCAAACCGUGAGGAAGGUGGGGAUGACGUCAAAUCAUCACGGCCCUUACGUCCUGGGCUACACACGUGCUACAAUGGUCGGUACAGAGAGCAGCCACUACGCGAGUAGGAGCGAAUCUUCAAAACCGAUCUCAGUUCGGAUCGCAGUCUGCAACUCGACUGCGUGAAGCUGGAAUCGCUAGUAAUCG
Molecule: ribosomal RNA, 424 nt
Filed under: uncultured bacterium
Lineage: Bacteria
Description: bacterial SSU rRNA
Rfam family: Bacterial small subunit ribosomal RNA
Source: RNAcentral